GGUCCGCUUUGGGUCGUUGGAGAGCGCGAGGGGUUUUGUCUCGCGGGCCGCGGCCGUUAAGCAGGCAGCCACUGAACUUGAGCGAGUGACUGCUGUGACCUUUAUUGGGAAUCUUCAAGAGAUUUUGACGGUGGUGUUGGCGUUUGAACAUGGAGACCUGGAUUCGGAACCUGAACUCGCGGACCACGAUGUUCUGGUCCAUCGCCCUGGUAAUCUUGAUAGUGUGUAUCAUCGGUUCCUUUGUUCUCCUCAUUGAGAUAAUGAUAAGCAUGCAUACAAGUUUGGAUGAAUUUGCAGCAAUGCUGCAGGACCAAGCAGAUUUCCUUAAGUCUCUGGAAGAUUGGAGAGAUCUGCUAGAGAAACGUCUCUGAGAUGCUGCAGUGGUGGAGUUCCAGUCUUCCUUUUUUUGAAAUUGUUGAGUUGAUGUAAAAAAAUAAAAAUUCUUCACUUUGA
Long non-coding RNA from Oryzias melastigma (Indian medaka), 453 nucleotides. RefSeq lists it as uncharacterized. NCBI's taxonomy places the organism in Eukaryota, Metazoa, Chordata, Actinopteri, Beloniformes, Adrianichthyidae. The transcript is spliced from 3 exons. The record is from RefSeq and is a predicted model, not a curated record.